RNAcentral lists this ribosomal RNA (507 nucleotides) under uncultured bacterium. RNAcentral's name for it is "bacterial SSU rRNA". It matches the Rfam family "Bacterial small subunit ribosomal RNA", at positions 29 to 509 of the family's 1533-position model. The record is from RNAcentral.
AGUGAACGCUGGCGGCGUGCUUAACACAUGCAAGUCGAACGCGAAAGGGUAGCAAUACCCGAGUAGAGUGGCGAACGGGUGAGUAAAAUGUGGGUAAUCUAGCUUUCAGAGGGGGAUAACCCGGGGAAACCUGGGCUAAAACCGCGUAACAUAUUGAUGAUUCUGGUCAUUAAUAUCAAAACAUGGCCUCUAUUUAUGAGCUAUGGCUGGAAGGUGAGCCCACAUCCUAUCACGCUUGUUGGUGAGGUAAAGGCUCACCAAGGCGACGACGGGUAGCCGGCCUGAGAGGGCGUCCGGCCACACUGGAACUGAGACACGGUCCAGACUCCUACGGGAGGCAGCAGUGGGGAAUUUUCGCAAUGGGCGCAAGCCUGACGAAGCAACGCCGCAUAGAGGAUGAAGGCCCUCGCGGUCGUAAACUCUUGUCUAGCGGGACGAAACUCCAAGACGGAAAUACUGUUUUGGAUUGACUGUACCGCUGGAGGAAGCUCCGGCCAACUCCGUGCC